RNAcentral lists this ribosomal RNA (1026 nucleotides) under Bacillus subtilis. Its description in RNAcentral is "bacterial SSU rRNA". It matches the Rfam family "Bacterial small subunit ribosomal RNA", at positions 8 to 1002 of the family's 1533-position model. The record is from RNAcentral. Lineage: Bacteria; Bacillati; Bacillota; Bacilli; Caryophanales; Bacillaceae.
AGAGUUUUGAACAGGCUCAGGACGAACGCUGGCGGCGUGCCUAAUACAUGCAAGUCGAGCGGACAGAUGGGAGCUUGCUCCCUGAUGUUAGCGGCGGACGGGUGAGUAACACGUGGGUAACCUGCCUGUAAGACUGGGAUAACUCCGGGAAACCGGGGCUAAUACCGGAUGGUUGUUUGAACCGCAUGGUUCAGACAUAAAAGGUGGCUUCGGCUACCACUUACAGAUGGACCCGCGGCGCAUUAGCUAGUUGGUGAGGUAACGGCUCACCAAGGCGACGAUGCGUAGCCGACCUGAGAGGGUGAUCGGCCACACUGGGACUGAGACACGGCCCAGACUCCUACGGGAGGCAGCAGUAGGGAAUCUUCCGCAAUGGACGAAAGUCUGACGGAGCAACGCCGCGUGAGUGAUGAAGGUUUUCGGAUCGUAAAGCUCUGUUGUUAGGGAAGAACAAGUGCCGUUCAAAUAGGGCGGCACCUUGACGGUACCUAACCAGAAAGCCACGGCUAACUACGUGCCAGCAGCCGCGGUAAUACGUAGGUGGCAAGCGUGACCCGGAAGAAUUGGGCGUAAGGGCUCGCAGGCGGUUUCUUAAGUCUGAUGUGAAAGCCCCCGGCUCAACCGGGGAGGGUCAUUGGAAACUGGGGAACUUGAGUGCAGAAGAGGAGAGUGGAAUUCCACGUGUAGCGGUGAAAUGCGUAGAGAUGUGGAGGAACACCAGUGGCGAAGGCGACUCUCUGGUCUGUAACUGACGCUGAGAGCGAAACCGCGCGGAGCGAACAGGGAAUUAGGAUUUACCCCUGGGUUAGGUUCCACGGCCCGGUUAAACGAAUGAAGGUGGGCUAAGUGUUAGGGGGUUUCCGCCCCUUAGUGCUGCAGCUAACGCAUUAAGCACUCCGCCUGGGGAGUACGGUCGCAAGACUGAAACUCAAAGGAAUUGACGGGGGCCCCCCAAACGGGGGAACAUGGGGUUUAAUUCAAAGCACCCGAAAAACCUUCCAGGUUUGAACCCCUUGAAACCCUAGA